CUCUUCCCUGAGAGCCUGCUUGGUGUGUGUAAGAUGCCGUUAGCUCCCUGUAACUCAAACAGCAAACCUGACCGCAGCUUCAGUACUGACUUUCCUCAACUCUUCAUAAUCCACAGGAGCUGGAGGGACUGGAAACCCAAGGAUAGUGCAGAAGAUGCUGCGGUUGCUGUGGUACCCACCUUCCACACGGGCCGUGAUCCUGGUCGCCAUGGCCGUCACCUUCUGCCCACUGUGGGCUGCGGAAGGGCCUCGGAGAGAGUUUUCAAGCUGUAUAACCAUGAAAAUUGACAGAAUCUUUAUUUACAAUCACCACAAACUAGAAACUACAGCUGAUGAAUGGAUAACCAGUAUGUAUUAUACCCCUACAAUACAUCACAACUGAGCAAGAAAAAGAAGGAACGACAGAUGCGACACCAUUGGCAAAUCUCAGGACAUUCGGCUGAAGAGACUCAAAAGGCUACAUUCUGUAUGAUAUCUAUAUCUGUUUUAAAUCCUCAUCCAAAGAUAUGUUUUUAUUGAUUUUUACAGAGGAAGGGGGAGAGAGAGAGAAAAAUACAUUGAUGUGAGAAAGAAACAUCCAUCCGUUACUGCUGUACACGCCCCAACCAGGGAUCGAACCUGCAAGCUGGGUAUAUGCCCUGACCGAGAACCAAACCCGCAACCUUUUUUUUUUUUUUUUGGGGUGUACAGGAUGAUGCUCCAACCAACUGAGCCACCUGGUCAGGGCUAACUAGAUUUUACUAAGGCUCAGAGAUAUUGAGAACUUGCCCGAGGUCACAUAGCCAGUAAUUGGCAGAGCUGAGAUUUGAAAUUACAUACCCCUUGCUCUGACAGCUUGUUUCCUCCCAGGCAGUCAAGUGCAGCUCCUCAGCCCAGGCCUUGAUCUGGCCAGAGCCAAAAGCUGGCAGGACUGCAGGGAGCAAGGGCAGCCAGAACCACUGGGCCUGGCUUCUCUAGUGACCUCACCGGGGUUCUAGAAAAUUGGUUUAGGCCCUUACUUUUUCUUUUUUUUAAAAUAUAUUUUAUUGAUUUUUUACAGAGAGGAAGGGAGAGAGAUAGUUAGAAACAUCGAUGAGAGAGAAACAUCGAUUAGCUGCCUCCUGCACAUCCCCCACUGGGGAUGUGCCCGCAACCCAGGCACAUGCCCUUGACCGGAAUCGAACCCGGGACCUUUCAGUCCGCAGGCCAACGCUCUAUCCACCGAGCCAAACCGGUUUCGGCUAGGCCCUUACUUUUUCUUGAAGACCAAGAACUUGUUGUUUUGCAUGAUGCAUUCUCGAUUGUUUGAGAUCUGCUGAAAGAUGGUCUUGUUGGUCUUUCCCUGGAAGAAAAUGUUCUCCUGCACCAGAGCCUUGGUGCGGCCCCGCACUGCGAUGCCGUAGGCCCGAAAUGAAUGGAUCCGGUUCUUUAUUACCUGGAAGAGACAGACAGCUUGUCACACUGGUAGGGGAGCCAGGUAAGUGUUUCACCAGUUAUAAAACGGAGGUAAGAGCAUGCUGGGUCGGUGAGCAGUGAGCCACGGGAGCUCAGGGAAGGGAUAUCAAAGCAAACGGGGUGGGGGGAGAGGGGAGCAGGGAAGGCUUCCUGGAAGAGGUGAUGGGUAAGCUAUAGGAGUUUAUCAGGUGCAGAGCAAGGUAGGGAUGUUCCAGGAAGAAGAAAAGGCCUGGCAGAGAGGCGGGGUGGUGCCAGAGGCCAAGGCCCACGGAAACCCAACUGAGGCAACAGCUUCCACAGCUCAGACUCAAAGUCAAGGACUUCUUUACUGCUUGCCUAAGUCACUAGUCAUGAAGCCACACAGCUAAAGCGGCCUUGGGAUCAUGAUUCACACGGGCAGGAACGGGCUCAACUUUGAAAGCCUAGCACCCGGCACAGUGCUUUGCAUAAAAAGUAAGCUCAGAGCUCACUGUCCCAUUGGGAGACAGACGAGCAAAGGAACAUUUACAAAGCACCGUGGGAAGUGCUCUGUGAGGUAGGGGUGGGCAUAAGCACCUUUGAGUCCAGAAAAGGGGUGCCUCAAUAGUCUGGGGGCUCAGGGAGGGCUUCCUGAAAAAAGCCAUAGCCAAGCUGUAGGACUGAGAGAAAAAGGGGGGAAAGUGUCCUGGGUCUACAGGGAAUAGCACAUACCGGGUCCUGUAUGAGAUUAUUCUGUGAGCAGAAAUCUAGAACAGCCCUGACCUUAGCCUGGAGACCCAGAAGAUACCCCAGGGGGCAUCCCCCACCCUAGCUUCCUGCUGGUAACUCUGAUUCAUCCUUCAGGGUCCAGUUAUAUGUCCCCUCUUGUGUGAAGUCCCAUUUUUGUCUUCCAGGCUGAGAAGGCAAGAAAGCUUUCCCAGGGCUGUGCCAUGGGAUACACACACACACACACACACACACACACACACUCACUCACCUUAGUGUCAGACCUGGGCAGCAGCUGCAGCCCGCUGCCCCGAUUGCCAAUGAUGUCAUUUUCGAUGACGACGGUGCUGUCACCCUUAGUGAUGAUGCCGUGGCCUCUGUUGUCAUAGAUCCCAUUGCCCCGAAGCUCUACCUUGCACUGGAUCUCGACCUUGACCCCACUCUGGCGGUUGCAGGAGAUGCUGUUGUUAGCCACACGGGUGAGCUGGCUGCUCUGGGCUACAGUGAUGCCUCUGUCCCCAUUAGCGUGGAUCACAUUGGUGAUGACGUGCAGUGCCUCACUGCUCUGGAUGUAGAGUCCUGAGGCUGCAGGUGGAGGGUGGGGAGCAGAGAAAGCACAGGGUGGUCCCAGGGUCAGCCCUGACAGCACCAGUCGGAAAAGCCUUCCUGGAGCUGUGCCCCCAGGAGAGAGGCAGGGAAGAGAGAGCAACACUCAGAACCAGCCCUUGGGAGCUGCAGCUUCCAAGCGGGCUGACACCCAGAGCAGGAGGAAACCUGGGAACAUCAAGAAAAUGCUGUUCCUCCUGAAAUGAGUCCUCAUUAAAGGUGCCAGGGAAACGGGAUGCAAGAUUCCGCAGGCUCAGCUGGUCGUCUGGCCCAGGCUCCCAUCCUGUACUGAACGCCACCUACGUCACAGUUCUACCGCCACGUGCACCUCUUGUGCUGGAGCCCUCACCACCCCUUCCAACUCCAGACAGGCCUACCUGCUGGAAAGUUGCUGUUUUGUUUUCUUUCCCAUACUGACCUAGAAUCUGCCUCCCUACUGUUUGGAGAAAUUUGUUUAUAUGGGAAAUUCUAUAAUUUUUGAAUAAAAAAAUUGACUAAAGUAA
Molecule: long non-coding RNA, 3227 nt
Organism: Myotis myotis
Lineage: Eukaryota; Metazoa; Chordata; Mammalia; Chiroptera; Vespertilionidae
Exons: 3
Source: RefSeq, a predicted model, not a curated record